UCGAGAAUUUUUCUCAAUGGGGGAAACCCUGAAGGAGCGACGCCGCGUGGGGGAUGAAUGGCUUCGGCCCGUAAACCCCUGUCAUUUGCGAUCAAACCUUACGACCUAACACGUCGUAAGCUGAUAGUAGCGGAAGAGGAAGGGACGGCUAACUCUGUGCCAGCAGCCGCGGUAAUACAGAGGUCCCAAGCGUUGUUCGGAUUCACUGGGCGUAAAGGGUGCGUAGGCGGUCGGGUAAGUCUGACGUGAAAUCUUCGAGCCUAACUCGGAAACUGCGUCGGAUACUAUUCGGCUAGAGGAAUGGAGGGGAGACUGGAAUACUUGGUGUAGCAGUGAAAUGCGUAGAUAUCAAGUGGAACACCAGUGGCGAAGGCGAGUCUCUGGACAUUUCCUGACGCUGAGGCACGAAAGCCAGGGGAGCAAACGGGAUUAGAUACCCUUGUAGUCCCUGAGCGGGCUGGCAAGGCGCAU
This 471-nucleotide ribosomal RNA is filed under the name uncultured bacterium. RNAcentral's name for it is "bacterial SSU rRNA". It matches the Rfam family "Bacterial small subunit ribosomal RNA", at positions 355 to 825 of the family's 1533-position model. The record is from RNAcentral.